UACGUAGGCAGCAAGCGUUGUUCGGAGUUACUGGGCGUAAAGGGUGUGUAGGCGGUUCCUUAAGUUUGCUGUGAAAUCUCCCGGCUUAACCGGGAGGGUGCGGUGAAUACUGAGGGACUAGAGUACGGGAGAGGAAAGUGGAAUUCCUGGUGUAGCGGUGAAAUGCGUAGAUAUCAGGAGGAACACCGGUGGUGUAGACGGCUUGCUGGACCGUAACUGACGCUGAGACACGAAAGCGUGGGUAGCAAACAGG
RNAcentral lists this ribosomal RNA (253 nucleotides) under uncultured bacterium. RNAcentral's name for it is "partial 16S ribosomal RNA". It matches the Rfam family "Bacterial small subunit ribosomal RNA", at positions 524 to 776 of the family's 1533-position model. The record is from RNAcentral.